This 497-nucleotide ribosomal RNA is filed under the name uncultured bacterium. Its description in RNAcentral is "partial 16S ribosomal RNA". It matches the Rfam family "Bacterial small subunit ribosomal RNA", at positions 28 to 507 of the family's 1533-position model. The record is from RNAcentral.
GAUGAACGCUGGCGGCGUGCCUAAUACAUGCAAGUCGAGCGAACAGACGAGGAGCUUGCUCCUCUGACGUUAGCGGCGGACGGGUGAGUAACACGUGGAUAACCUACCUAUAAGACUGGGAUAACUUCGGGAAACCGGAGCUAAUACCGGAUAAUAUAUUGAACCGCAUGGUUCAAUAGUGAAAGACGGUUUUGCUGUCACUUAUAGAUGGAUCCGCGCCGCAUUAGCUAGUUGGUAAGGUAACGGCUUACCAAGGCAACGAUGCGUAGCCGACCUGAGAGGGUGAACGGCCACACUGGAACUGAGACACGGUCCAGACUCCUACGGGAGGCAGCAGUAGGGAAUCUUCCGCAAUGGGCGAAAGCCUGACGGAGCAACGCCGCGUGAGUGAUGAAGGUCUUCGGAUCGUAAAGCUCUGUUAUUAGGGAAGAACAAAUGUGUAAGUAACUAUGCACGUCUUGACGGUACCUAAUCAGAAAGCCACGGCUAACUACGUG